This 465-nucleotide ribosomal RNA is filed under the name uncultured bacterium. RNAcentral describes it as "partial 16S ribosomal RNA". It matches the Rfam family "Bacterial small subunit ribosomal RNA", at positions 28 to 507 of the family's 1533-position model. The record is from RNAcentral.
GAUGAACGCUGGCGGCGUGCUUAACACAUGCAAGUCGAACGGAAAGGCCUCUGCUUGCGGGGGUACUCGAGUGGCGAACGGGUGAGUAACACGUGGGUGAUCUGCCCUGCACUUCGGGAUAAGCCUGGGAAACUGGGUCUAAUACCGGAUAGGACAAUGGUUUGGAUGCCGUUGUGGAAAGUUUUUCGGUGUGGGAUGAGCUCGCGGCCUAUCAGCUUGUUGGUGGGGUAAUGGCCUACCAAGGCGUCGACGGGUAGCCGGCCUGAGAGGGUGUACGGCCACAUUGGGACUGAGAUACGGCCCAGACUCCUACGGGAGGCAGCAGUGGGGAAUAUUGCACAAUGGGCGCAAGCCUGAUGCAGCGACGCCGCGUGGGGGAUGACGGCCUUCGGGUUGUAAACUCCUUUCGCUAGGGACGAAGCGCAAGUGACGGUACCUGGAGAAGAAGCACCGGCUAACUACGUG